CAUGCCUUUUCUCCUCUCUCUUUUCCUUUCUAUGCUCAAGAGUUGAGCGUCCCCUCUUUGACACGUCAAGAGGUGCUGCUUUGUCUUCAAGAGUGAAGAUCGAAAAGAAGAAGAAGAAGACUGCUGAUCAAGGAGUUGAUCUUGCAGUCUAGAUCUAGAUAUUGAUCAAAGUGUUCAAGAUUAAGGUUCUUCUUGAAAAAAAAAGUCUUCUAUUAGCAAAAAUCAGAUCGAGAUUGAUCUCGAUGGAUACUCAUAGAGGUCGGACACGUAUGCGGCUCGAGCAUCUAUGAAUUCAUGAUCAUCAGAA
This 307-nucleotide long non-coding RNA is filed under the name Elaeis guineensis (African oil palm). RNAcentral describes it as "long non-coding RNA (EGUI_LNC072364)". Lineage: Eukaryota; Viridiplantae; Streptophyta; Magnoliopsida; Arecales; Arecaceae. The record is from RNAcentral.